AAUUACAUCUUACACAACAAACAAACAAAUUUUCUUUUUAUUUUAUGCUUAAAAACAAGUUAAAAUAAAAUUUACGUUAAUAUCAAAAUCUGUUUUCCCCAUUUAGAGCCUAAAAAAAUAGUCGAAUUUCUCAUUAAAUACAAGAAGUUAUGGGCUGAAAAAUAAGAUCCACAAUCAACGUUAAAUGGUGGUGAUAGUAUUCAUCUUAUUAAAAAAUAUGUCUAAUCGCUUGUUUAAAUAAUAAAAACAAACAAUUCUAGUAGUAGAAAAAGUCCAACCAUCCAUCCAUAUUUCUGUUACUGACUGCGAAUUUAUAUUAGUCCUUGCUAUGUUAAAUGUAAGCGGCCGCCAUUUUUAAAGUGGUGUAUUUCACUGGAUGAAAAUAAUUGUGUUUGAUUCAGAGGGAUAUCAUUUGGAUUUGUUAGUCAUACACCUUUUUAAAAGAAAGAAAACUUAUUGAGGAUUGUAACAGACAAUAAAUAAGUGUUGACAGAUGUGUAAACAUUCAAACAAGUGGAUAGGAAAUUGGAAAACUUGGAAGCCUUACGAACGCUGGGUUGUUUUACAUAUUCUUCGACUGAAAGCUGCCAUUGCUUUUUAAGGUUUUCAUAAAGCAUACGGCAGUUUUUGCUCGUAGGAUACUUAAAUAUUCCCAAAUGUCGUCAAGAGCAGUUUUGCAUGUGGAAGGAAUGUAUUUUUCAGACUGUAAAAAUGAAACAAAAAAAUUAAAGAGAGGAUAUUUGGUGAUUGGUAAUUUGAAUGAAUAGAAGUAAGUUACUGUAAGUUUUCUUCUUUUUAUUACCUUUUACAUAUAAGUUAUUUAUCAAUUUCAGGUUUGCUUUUCUUUAAACAGCCUGACAUUGUCGGAAUAGUCACCAUAAAUAAAAUUGAGGUACCACAUGGGGAAAAUCUUAAAAAAGUAGUUUCGUCAUUGAAAAGUGUGAAAUUAUAUUUUGAUAAUUUUCACUGUGAAAUUAUCAAAUAUAAUUUCCACGGAUAAAUCAGUAAUCCACUGAAAAGCAUAAAAUAACAGAGACUAUUCUAUAGAAAUAGUCAUCAUUAUUAGCGAUCUUUAAGCAUUCUUUUCCUCAGCUAAAUGUUAAUGCAUAAACAACGUCUUGUAAAACUUAACACGAUCGUUUUUCUCUAUACGUUUUACUAUCAAAUCAAGUUGGUUUUUUGGAGGGGCUAUUUCCAGGGACACAAAAUGCAAAAUCUUAUUUGCGCAACGAAGCAAUAAGCCAUAUCUGAAAUAAAUCAUGGCUAUGAAGGCUGUCUGAAGAUUUUUUAUUCUUAUUUGCCUUUAAUGCAUCUUUAUUAUUAUUAUGUAAAUUUUGUUAAUGUAAUUAAAUAAGCUUUUAACUCUGAAUAUAUUCAGUGAUAAGCAGGUAGUUGAGAUAUAAGUUCGCUACAUUGAUAUCAUUAUCCAAAACUGGGAACAUUUUUGAGCACGCAAGAAGUUUGGAAAACAGAAGGGAAUUAAUUCUCGUGCUCGUAAGCAAUCAUGUUUAAACUGCUGGCAGUGUGCUUAUUAGCCUUUGCAGUUGCAAAACGGAAUCAAAAUGUCCAAGCUGACAGUGACGUAAACGACUUGAAUGACGUAGAAAAAAGGUUGUUACAAACCCUAGAGGAUGCGAUG
Ruditapes philippinarum (Manila clam) is the source of this 1639-nucleotide long non-coding RNA. RefSeq lists it as uncharacterized. The transcript is spliced from 2 exons. The record is from RefSeq and is a predicted model, not a curated record. Lineage: Eukaryota; Metazoa; Mollusca; Bivalvia; Venerida; Veneridae.